This is a long non-coding RNA of Engraulis encrasicolus (European anchovy), 708 nucleotides long. RefSeq lists it as uncharacterized. The record is from RefSeq and is a predicted model, not a curated record. Lineage: Eukaryota; Metazoa; Chordata; Actinopteri; Clupeiformes; Engraulidae. The transcript is spliced from 3 exons.
GCAGGCAGCUGUGGAGUUACGAGUUGCUAUGCAACCUGCUCCCACUGUCUGUCACAUUUUCAUUCAUAUCCGUGAAUAGCUUGGAAAGCCAGAUGCAGUCGAAUAUUAGGUUUAUGUUUCCUUGACAUUUCUGUCUCUGUUCUGACUCAGACCAUUUUCUUGUAUAGAAUUCGAGAGGCUUAUUGUAGAUCAUUGAAAGAUAUAUUCUGUAUUUCUUCCUAAUGUCCGCAAUUCUCAUCUACAGAAGUUCCCGAAGAAAGCAACAUGAUGAAGCAAAACUCCACCCUCACCACUACGUUGGAGUCUUCCCAUUCAGUCAUCAUCCAAUUUGCUCCAAACACAAGCAGACACUUCUUACAGAUGGCUGUCCUCUAGAAUGAAAAUGCACACCAACCACCGGCAAACAUCAAAAGCUAAUCCAACCUUUGGUCUUCGGAAACCCCGUGACUAAUGCAAUGUUGGUGCCCUAGAAGACAAGUCAGCGCAGUUCAGACGAGCCAGCCAGAGGAGGUCACCGCCAGCCUUGUAUCGAGGUCCCAACGUCCUUCAUCGGGGAACUCGGCAUGGAUAUGCAAGACAACACUCGAAUCACUGUUGGACAAAUGCCUGAAACGGCUGGAAAAAUAGAAAAGAUGGUUACAGAGACUGUUAUUGCUGUUCUUCUUUCAAUACAAUAUUUGCCUUCCAUAAAAUAUUCCCAUGUUCCAA